UUAGCUAGUUGGUAGGGUAAUGGCUUACCAAGGCAACGAUGCAUAGCCGACCUGAGAGGGUGAUCGGCCACACUGGGACUGAGACACGGCCCAGACUCCUACGGGAGGCAGCAGUAGGGAAUCUUCGGCAAUGGACGAAAGUCUGACCGAGCAACGCCGCGUGAGUGAAGAAGGUUUUCGGAUCGUAAAACUCUGUUGUUAGAGAAGAACAAGGAUGAGAGUAAAAUGUCAUCCCUGACGGAUCUACCAGAAAGC
RNAcentral lists this ribosomal RNA (255 nucleotides) under uncultured bacterium. RNAcentral's name for it is "partial 16S ribosomal RNA". It matches the Rfam family "Bacterial small subunit ribosomal RNA", at positions 241 to 491 of the family's 1533-position model. The record is from RNAcentral.